Molecule: long non-coding RNA, 665 nt
Filed under: Dromaius novaehollandiae (emu)
Lineage: Eukaryota; Metazoa; Chordata; Aves; Casuariiformes; Dromaiidae
Description: lncRNA (ENSDNVG00000008891.1)
Source: RNAcentral
CAUUACGUACUCUAGUAUGGCAAAAAUAAACUCCAUUUGAGGCAGGCAGAUCCCCCACAGCAUCACUGCCAAGCAGCUCUCUACUGCUAGCUCAGCCGUACUGAAGACUUCAAUCGACUGCAGAGAUGGAUGUAUUACCCGUUAGCUGCAAAGACAUGGUGCUCUUCAGUGGCUUUAAAAUAUAUCAUCCUAGGAAAUCAGUUUUUGGUGAAGGACUGUAGCACACUGAAGUGAUGAGUAGAGGCGUCAAAAUCACAGUCCUUUUGGAAAUUGCAGCUGAUUUGGGACUGCCAUAUUCCAGCAUACUGUGAAGACAUUACCGUUUGCAGCCAUCUACCGUGAUGGACUGAAAACUUGGUUGUUCAAGRACUGAUACAGGAGGAGAUAAGAUGUCCUUGUUCUGGGAACAGAGCUGAAGUGUCUGACUGYCUGUCUCUGUCUCUCUGUCUCUGUCUCUCUCCCUCUCUCUCUCGUGUGUAGGGKUUUUUUUGUUUGUUUUGUUUUAUUUUACUUUAAGCUACUACCACAUGGUGAGGGCAGAGAUACUGUUUUAAGGCUAGUAAACUGAAAGCUGAUGAUAGUGUCAGCUGGAAUGUGUUUUCUGCCUGUUCAUGUUGUAUCUUGGCAAUUUGGUGAAUCCAAAAGAGUAACAUAAGGCUCAAUUC